AACGAACGCUGGCGGCAGGCCUAACACAUGCAAGUCGAGCGCGCCCUUCGGGGUGAGCGGCGGACGGGUGAGUAACGCGUGGGAACGUGCCCUUUUCUACGGAAUAGCCUCGGGAAACUGAGAGUAAUACCGUAUACGCCCUUUGGGGGAAAGAUUUAUCGGAAAAGGAUCGGCCCGCGUUGGAUUAGGUAGUUGGUGGGGUAAUGGCCUACCAAGCCGACGAUCCAUAGCUGGUUUGAGAGGAUGAUCAGCCACACUGGGACUGAGACACGGCCCAGACUCCUACGGGAGGCAGCAGUGGGGAAUCUUAGACAAUGGGGGCAACCCUGAUCUAGCCAUGCCGCGUGAGUGAUGAAGGCCUUAGGGUUGUAAAGCUCUUUAAGCUGGGAAGAUAAUGACGGUACCAGCAGAAGAAGCCCCGGCUAACUCCGUG
RNAcentral lists this ribosomal RNA (433 nucleotides) under uncultured bacterium. RNAcentral's name for it is "partial 16S ribosomal RNA". It matches the Rfam family "Bacterial small subunit ribosomal RNA", at positions 29 to 507 of the family's 1533-position model. The record is from RNAcentral.